RNAcentral lists this non-coding RNA (117 nucleotides) under Pan paniscus (pygmy chimpanzee). The record is from Rfam by way of RNAcentral. RNAcentral also lists the same sequence under 1 other name. Lineage: Eukaryota; Metazoa; Chordata; Mammalia; Primates; Hominidae.
GCCAGGUGUGGUGGCUCACGCCUGUAAUCCCAGCACUUUUGGAGGCUGAGGCGGGCGGAUCACCUGAGGUCAGGAGUUCGAGACCAGCCUGGCCAACAUGGUGAAACCCCGUCUCUA